RNAcentral lists this long non-coding RNA (429 nucleotides) under Capsicum annuum. Its description in RNAcentral is "long non-coding RNA (CANN_LNC011001)". The record is from RNAcentral. Lineage: Eukaryota; Viridiplantae; Streptophyta; Magnoliopsida; Solanales; Solanaceae.
CGCGACCUCCACACCUUCCUAUCUAGGGUCAUGUCCUCAGUAAGCUGCAGCUGCUCCAUAUCAACUGGUCACCUCCCUCCAGUAUUUCUUCGGCCUACCUCUACUCCUCCUGGAGCCAUCCAAAGCUAGCCUCUCACACCUACGAAUUAAGGCAUCCGCGUCCCUCCUCAUUACAUGUCCAAACCAUCUUAACCUUCUUUCCCACAUCUUGUGCUCCACCGAUGCCACUCUCAUCUUCUCUCGGAUAAUCUCAUUCCUAACCUUGUCCUCUCUAGUAAGUCCACACAUCUAACGCAACAUCCUCAUUUCCGCCACCUUCAAUUUCUAGAUGUGGGAGUGCUUGACUGGCCAACACUCCACACUAUACACAUGGCCGGAUGGACUGCCACUUUAUAGAAUUUGCCUUUAAGCUUAAGGGGCACUUUCUUA